Oryctolagus cuniculus (rabbit) is the source of this 944-nucleotide non-coding RNA. The record is from RefSeq and is a predicted model, not a curated record. Lineage: Eukaryota; Metazoa; Chordata; Mammalia; Lagomorpha; Leporidae.
GGGGGCGGGGCGGGGGCAGUCUCCCGGGAGGUCCCAGAGCCGGCCUCGGAGAGGGGUGGUGACGAGAGGGGUGCGCGGUGCACCUAGGGAGUUGUAGUUCUCUUCUGGGGACGGCUAUUCUUGAGAGAAAAGUGGGGAACUACAAGCCCCAGCGAUCCUUGGGUUCUCCGCCUUGCUGCCAGCAUCUGACCAUGACCAGUGGGGAUUGUGCCCUCUGCUGUUGAACUCUGUACCGAAGUGUGUUCUUGCGGGUUUACUUGUAGCUUACCCGCCCACUGUCCCUUGCCAGAUGACUUUUAUUUUCCUUGCUAAUUGAAAAAGGAGGAUUUCCAGGGACUCUAAACGGCCCGGGGAGACGGGCAGUGUCCUCAUUGAAUAUGCUUGCGGGAGCCCUGAGCCCAUCCUCUCCCGCCGGAAGGAGCACAGCGAAGAACCGGAGUUGUUUGAAGUUUGCCGUCGCUUUAUUCAGGCGGAGUGAAGUGGGAAAGGGAAGAAGCGGUGGCGUGGAGACGCGGGGGGCUGCUUCGCGUGUUCCCGUCGCCUUCCCGGGUUUUUUCAGUCACGUUCACAACAGGAUUUCCCUGCAGCUUCUAUGUGUAGUUGUGGUCUGAAAAGUUACAUUUAUUUCGUCAGUUGAAACAGCAUUGUAGUCUGUAGCGGGACAGUUUACUGUUUCAAAGAAUUUAGUACACGUUUUAAAUUGAUCUAACAGUCUUAGAUUUGUAAGUCGGGAUUUCCACACGUGAGACUUUUAAAAUAACUUUACUACCAUCCAGGGCCUGUCUGAACUUUCAGUUGCUAAACUUGGAGGUGAGGAGAGAAAAGGAGAGAGAACUGGAAGUUGUGGCGAGAGAAUCGCACUUAGCUUAUCCUUGCAGUUUCUCCAAGAGGAGUGGAAGCAGCUACCUGGACAACAAAUAAAUACUUCUCUGUGAUUCCUGAAA